This 124-nucleotide small RNA is filed under the name Marmota monax (woodchuck). The record is from RNAcentral. Lineage: Eukaryota; Metazoa; Chordata; Mammalia; Rodentia; Sciuridae.
GCCGGGCAGGGUGGUGCACGCCUGUAAUCCUACCUGCUCAGGAGGCUGAGGCAGGAGGAUCACGAGUUCAAAGCCAGCCUCAGCAAAAGUGAGGGCUAAGUAACUCAGUGAGAUUCAGUCUCUA